Molecule: transfer RNA, 71 nt
Filed under: Caudoviricetes sp.
Lineage: Duplodnaviria; Heunggongvirae; Uroviricota; Caudoviricetes
Description: tRNA-Arg
Rfam family: tRNA
About the family: Transfer RNA (tRNA) molecules are approximately 80 nucleotides in length. Their secondary structure includes four short double-helical elements and three loops (D, anti-codon, and T loops).
Source: RNAcentral
GCGUGCAUAGUUUAAUGACAGAAUAGCGUCCUUCUAAGACGAAGAUGCGGAUUCGAGUCCCGCUGUACGCU